UCCGUAGGUGAACCUGCGGAGGGAUCAUUACCGAGUGAGGGCUUCGGCUCGACCUCCAACCCUUGUGUUGACCAACACCUGUUGCCUCGGGGGUGACCCGGCCCCGGCCAUCGCACCGGGAACGACGUAGCCCCCGAUGGACCUUAUGAACUCUGUAUCUCUGUGUCGGAGUAUAUUGCAAAUCAAUUAAAACUUUCAACAACGGAUCUCUUGGUUCUGGCAUCGAUGAAGAACGCAGCGAAAUGCGAUAAGUAAUGUGAAUUGCAGAAUUCAGUGAAUCAUCGAAUCUUUGAACGCACAUUGCGCCCUUUGGUAUUCCGAAGGGCAUGCCCGUUCGAGCGUCAUUAAACCCACCCAAGCCUGGCUUGGUAUUGGGCGGCGGGGUGUCCCCGCGCCUCAAUCUCACCGGCGAGAUUUUUCGAUCGCAAGCGUUAUGGUUCUUCAACGCGCGAAGCGAUUUCGAUGGAUCUCGGCCGUUAAACCUUUCAAUCAAGGUUGACCUCGGAUCGGGUAGGGAUACCCGCUGAACUUAAGCAUAUCAAUAAGCGGAGGA
RNAcentral lists this ribosomal RNA (553 nucleotides) under uncultured Catenulostroma. RNAcentral's name for it is "eukaryotic LSU rRNA". The stretch from base 191 to 344 matches the Rfam family "5.8S ribosomal RNA". Lineage: Eukaryota; Fungi; Ascomycota; Dothideomycetes; Mycosphaerellales; Teratosphaeriaceae. The record is from RNAcentral.